CCAAAAGUCUAAUUCCUCAUUUUAAGUUUUAACUCCUCACUCCCCUCCACUCCACUGAAGAACAAAAUCAAGCAAUGGGCGACCGCGGCAGAGAUGAGAGAGACAGAGACCGCGACCACCGUGACCGCGGCCGUGAGGAGAGAGAAAGAGACCGUGACCGAGACCGGAGGAGAGAGAUAGACGACCGAGAUCGCCACCGAGACCGCCGCUCUCCCCACGCCCGCUCCCGCCACGCCCGCUCUCGCUCCCGCUCACCUGACCGUCGGCGCCGGUCAAGGUCAGAGUCCGAAUCACGCUCCCGUUCACGGUCUCACUCCGUUGACCGGUCUCGCCGUCACCACCACCAAUCACGAAGGAGAGAAAGAGACGACCACGACGACAACGACCGCACUGUUGUCUCCGAUUUCGUUGACGGAAUCGCCAAGGAGCAGAAGAAGAAGAAAUCGGAUCGAAGAGACGAGAGAGAGAAGAGUAACAACAAUGAAAAUGGUAACAUUGGAGAGGAAGGUGGUGCUGAAGAUGAUGAAAUUGAAAUGAUGAAGAAAUUAGGGAUUCCGGUUGGGUUUGAUUCUACGAAAGGAAAGCCAGUUGCUGGUGCUGAUGUUAGUGGUGUUAGAGCUGUUACUAAGCGUCAGCCGAGACAGUAUAUGAAUCGUCGAGGGGGCUUUAAUCGUCCUUUGCCUGCUGAGCGGAAUCGUUAGGGAUGGUUUUUCUAGGGUUUACUUCACUUCUCAAGGUGGUAAUUUUUGGACGAUUAUAUUGUCGGGUCCUUCCGAGAGUCUUUCAUGGACCAGGGGAGGGUCUUCAGUCUUCACCCUUCACCAAUGGGUUUGCAUAUGCAAGCCUAAUCUACUAGUCGAAUAUUCGUGUGUGACUACUUUUCUUCUUUAUGGUCUUUGCGUGCAUGGCGAAGUAGUUAUAAAGUAUAGUGUGGUAUUCCUACUAGUGAUAUGGUCAAGGGUUCAGUGAGAGGAGAAGAGACACUUAGCCGGGUUGCGAUUAAGUUGUAAACCUAUGGAGGUAGGACCAGCGUUCAAGAGUUUGGUGUUCAGAAACAUCUCUUUGGCAGUGAAACGGUUAGCCCAUAUGACGGGGAAAAGGUAUGGUUAUGAAAUAACUAAAGGGAUGCACUAACUAGCUGGUAUUCAUGCCUUCUUUUCCAAGAUGUGUAAGUUUACCUUGCACUCUCACAGGUAUCUCAUCUAAUAUUGCCCCCUUUGUCCAGGUGGUAAAUCAGUUUCAAAUAUAAUGUGGUAUUCCAAGGGUUCAGGGAGAGGAGAAGAGACACUUAGGCUUUUCGUGAUUAAGUUGUAAUCCUAUGGAGGUAGGACCAGUGUUCAAGAGUUUGGUGUUCAUCUGCUUGAUAGUUAAACAGUCACGGUAUUUAUCUUUGGGGUAUAACUCUUGCGGCCCAUUAUGACGGGAAAAGGUAUGGUUAUGAAAUAACUAAUGGGACGCGCUUACUAGUUGGUACUCGUGCCUCUUUUCCAGCAUGUGUAAGUUUACCUUGCACUCUCACUCUCUCAGAGUUAUUCAGAUUUAAUGAAGCUUCUGUAGCUUGUCUUGUGCAUAUGUAAAUUUUUUUUGAAGAGCACUUCAGCAUGAACGAACUUUCAAAACUUGUGCAUGAUUCCUGACAAAAGCAACUAGCACUGAAGCAAAUAUUCAUCCGAAUUUUCAACACUGAAGUUCAAUUCUUAUAUGUCGAGAGAACCACCAUGGAAGAAGUAUUUGUAGUUCUCUAGUAAGCUGUGAUAACUGAGGUUAACACCGAUGUAAUCCUAGUCUAGCCUCGUUGCUUUAUCAUGCGAUGUUCCAACUCUCAAGCUUGUUUUACAAAUGUAUGUCAUUUUUUGGUCUCUAUACCUACUGGAGCAUUUUGGUUUGA
Molecule: RNA transcript, 1888 nt
Organism: Spinacia oleracea (spinach)
Lineage: Eukaryota; Viridiplantae; Streptophyta; Magnoliopsida; Caryophyllales; Amaranthaceae
Exons: 4
Source: RefSeq, a predicted model, not a curated record